RNAcentral lists this long non-coding RNA (1450 nucleotides) under Homo sapiens (human). RNAcentral describes it as "HSALNT0228233". The record is from RNAcentral. Lineage: Eukaryota; Metazoa; Chordata; Mammalia; Primates; Hominidae.
UCAUUGUGAUGGUUAAUUUUAUUUGUUAACUGGGCUAAGGGAUGCCUAGAUAGCUGGUCAAACAUUGUUUUGCAGUAUAUCUGCUAAAACAUUUCCAAAAGAGAUUAGUGUUUGCAUCAGCAGACUGAGUAAAGAAGAUGGCCCUCAGCAAUGUGGGUGGGCAUGGCGUAAUCCGCUGAAGGCCCAGAUAGAAGAAAAAGGCGGAAAAAGGGACAAGUUGCAGCAAUCAACUCUGACUUAAACAAUAGCGAAAGGGCAUUGGUGAGGACACCAGGAAGCUGAUGAAUACACAGCCUUCAGCAACAUCGGGAGUCAGAGCUGCUCCAGGGAUCUUGGCAGGAGGGAUUUGUGGCUCUCCUUCCAGAAUGCUGUCAAGGGUGACAGAGGCCUAAGCACCUUUCAUCCUCAUGUAAUUUGUGCUCCAGAUUUGAAGACCAGGGUGGAAGAACCUCAUUGGCUUUCCUUAUGUCACCUGCUCUGCUAAUAGGUGGUAUCGUUUGAUUGGCACCUCUGCCAUUCCCACGUAGAGUGGAAAAGGGCAAUCAGACAGAAACAGAAGGUGCCGUCUGCCUCCCUCCUCCCUACCCCUUCCCCUGCCACCCACAACCCUACAGAUUGGGAAAGGUAGAAUUAGGAAGUAUGUUUAGAAUUUUUGGUGUGUGGUCUGGACCUCUAAGAUGGCUCAUCAUAGCCUAGCUGGAAAAUGGAAAGCCUCCGUCAGAAAUUAAAAAUCAAAUGUAACAGUGCUGUUGACUCUCAUACGACUCUCCUCCAGUCACCCUUCACUUGUCAUGUCAGUGUCAGCAUUUGUGGUAAUGGUUUGGGAUGUGGAAGGGGGAGUGAGAAGGGAGAUAAUCCUUCUUCUUCUCCUUCUUCUUCUGAGACAGGGUCUUGCUUUGCUCUCUCUCCCAGGUUGGAGUGCAGUAGCAUGAUCAUGGCUCACUGCAGCCUUGAACUCCUGGGCUCAAGCAAUCCUCCUGGCUCAGCCUCCUGAGUAGCUCAGGCUACAGGCAUGGACCACCCCACCUGGAUAAUUUUAUUUUUUACUUUGUAAAGAUAGGGCCUCGCUGUGUUGCCCAGGCUGGUCUCAGACUCCUAGGUUCAAAUGAUCCUACAGCCUUGGCCACUGCACCCAGUCUUGAUCUGACUUUUGAAGCACUAUGUAUUUACCGUACUCCAGCCUGGGCAACAGAGAGACAUCCUGUUUCUAAAUAAGUGUUAUCUCUUAGUGCUAUUUCUAUUCUUGUUGUCAGCUUGCAAGUUGAUAGCUGGGGUCAAAAGUGUGACAGUUGUUUGAGUCAGAUUUGGACCAGAACAUUUUCUGCCACUUAUUCCAAGGAGAUGGCAAGGGUCAGCGGGGGGUCCUAAAAGUCUCGGGUCCAGACAUUAAGUUUCUGCCUUCUGUAAGUCACCCAAAGAUCCCCAAAGUGUCCCAGCUGUAGAGACACAU